AGAGUUUGAUCAUGGCUCAGAUUGAACGCUGGCGCAUGCGUAACACAUGCAAGUCGAACGGUGUUUGGUGCUUGCACCAGACAUAGUGGCGGACGGGUGAGUAAUGCGUAGGAAUCUGUCUUAGAGAGGGGGACAACCCGAGGAAACUUGGGCUAAAACCGCAUAUUCUCGAGAGAGGAAAGCAGGGGACCGGAAACGGCCUUGUGCUCUAAGGUGAGCCUACGUCGGAUUAGCUAGUUGGUAGGGUAAAAGCCUACCAAGGCGAUGAUCUGUAGCUGGUCUGAGAGGACGGACAGCCACACUGGGACUGAGACACGGCCCAGACUCCUACGGGAGGCAGCAGUGGGGAAUAUUGGACAAUGGGGGGAACCCUGAUCCAGCGAUGCCGCGUGUGUGAAGAAGGCCUGCGGGUUGUAAAGCACUUUCAGUGGGAAAGAGAAGCGUCUUGUGAAUAAUGGGACGUGGAGACGUUACUCACAGAAGAAGCACCGGCUAACUCUGUG
This 503-nucleotide ribosomal RNA is filed under the name uncultured bacterium. RNAcentral's name for it is "bacterial SSU rRNA". It matches the Rfam family "Bacterial small subunit ribosomal RNA", at positions 8 to 507 of the family's 1533-position model. The record is from RNAcentral.